RNAcentral lists this non-coding RNA (45 nucleotides) under Schistosoma bovis. Lineage: Eukaryota; Metazoa; Platyhelminthes; Trematoda; Strigeidida; Schistosomatidae. The record is from RNAcentral.
ACCCAGCUGACGAGUCCAAAAUAGGACGAAACGCGCGUCCUGGAU